Molecule: long non-coding RNA, 4748 nt
Filed under: Sus scrofa (pig)
Lineage: Eukaryota; Metazoa; Chordata; Mammalia; Artiodactyla; Suidae
Description: lncRNA (ENSSSCG00040024534.1)
Source: RNAcentral
GAAGUAGCGAGAACCUGCUUUGGUCACCUAAAUUGACUAAUGCAGGCUGUUGUUAGCUGUCACCUGAAAUUCAGACCCAUUGCAGACAGAUUCAUUUAGCUAGGUAACAUAUAAAACAAAAGGCAUUAAUAAUUACUUUGUUCUUAAAUAGAAUCAAGAAUCGAGAUUUGAAUAACUUUUAGUAUAUUAUAUAUACUGAAACUAACAAACUUUGGGGUUUUUUGGUCUUUUUAAGGCUGCACCCACGGUAUAUGGAAGUUCCCAGGCUAGGGAGUUGAAUCGGAGCUGUAGCCUCCAGCCUACGCCACAGCCACAGCAAGACCAGAUCUGAGCCACGUUUGCAACCUACACCACAGCUUGGCAAUGCUGGAUCCUUAACCCACUGAGAGAGGCCAGGGAUUGAACCUGACUCCUCAUGGAUGCUAGUUGGGUUUGUUACCUCUAGGCCACAACAGGAACUCUGAAACUAACAAACAUUUAAAUGUCUUUAAUGUAUGUCUUCAGGUAAGAAUAUGUCUCUACUUGUUUUCUGUCUUGAAUAGCUUUGUAAAAGUUCCAGUGGGAAUACGAGGAUUACGGUGGGAUUGAGUGUGUGAGAUCUGCAGGAUAGGCUGUGGUUUAUUCACAGUUGAGAAGCCUCUUAGGUACUAUCAUCCACAUUCAUGACAGUGACCAGCAUGCCAAGUAUAAGAAGUCUACCUGGAAAAGACACAUUCUUUAGAGACAGCUGAUUAACACAUGCUCUUGAUGUUGGCAUAUCAUAAAGGAAACCAAAUUAUAGUAAUAGGACCUGUUUGGUGAGUUUAGAAUGGAAACAGGGAGUGUUAGUUAUGUGACUUAAGUGCUUAAAUGCCAUCAGCACAAAACAGAUUGAUACCGUCAUUUUAACAGGAAGGAAAGAAAUGGUUUUUUUAACAUUUCAAAAAAAAUUUUUAGUGUUUAAAAAUUUUUUUAUCGAAGUAUAGUUGACUUACAAUGUAAGCUAGCCUUUGGAUCAGUGCACCCUCUUCAGCUGAGCAUCAUUUAGAUGAACAAUGUCAACUAACAUAUGCUUCAGACUCUUCUUAUAUGCUCUUUUGACAGUCCAUCCCUUAUGCCUCUGAUCAACAAUUCUUUCUUUUAUAGAGGCAAUAAGGUUACAGUCAAGUCCAGCUGGAGUGCAAAUUGCCGUGACUUUCUGGCUGCAGAUCUCUGCCAUCAUCCAUCAUGGGUUGAUAUGGAAAUUGAUCAGUUUAGUCAUCUGUUAGCAAAGAUAUAUUCAACUGUAUUAUUAUAGAAGAGAUCCACUACAAUGGUAAAAAUAGGUUUUGAAAUGAGACUACAGGGCAAGGAAAGUGUGUGUGACUUAGGUUUUGUUCUUUCACAUACAUGGCUUUUUGGAAUUUAACACUUUAUUUGAACCUUAUACUGAAAUUUCAGAGUCUGUAGUUUAGGAUAGGUCUACAGUUGGGGUUAGAGAACUUUCCUUUUUUUCCUCAAAGGCAUGUAUAAGGGCUUUAUUAAUUUAUGUCAAUUUUAAUCUUGAACAUUCUCGUUUUAGAGAAAAAGUCUAACUUUUCUACCUCAGUGCUGACAUUCAAGUUUAACCUAUAAAAGACAAUAUUAUUUUCAGGUUGUGAUUAUGUAUCAGUAUAUAAAUUAUACCGUAUUGUAUAUUUAAUAUGUAUAAAAGAGAACAAUUUAUAGUAGAUGGUUCAUACUAAAUAUUUAUAAAGUAAUUAAACUUAAGUAUUCUGGAAUGAUAAUUAUUUAUUUCUAAAUAUAGUUUCAGGUACUUUUGAUAGUUCUUCAAAUACUUCAGGUUCUAUAUAUCCCUUCCCCAAAUAUGUUGAGAUUGGAACACUAGAAAUUCAUACAUAUAUGUGUAUCUUAAAUUGCAAUAAUUGAGUGAUUGUGUCCUUAGGAUUUCUUUGGUGGUAUUUGUUAUGUAAAUUUAUUUCUUUUUUGCUUUUUUUUAAGGGCCAUACCCAUGGCAUAUGGAAGUUCCCAGGCUAGGGGUUGAAUUGGAGCUGUAGCUACUGGCCUAUGCCACAGCCACAGCAAUGCCAGAUCCAAGCCUUGUCUGUGACCUACACCACAGCUCAGGACAACACCAGAUUCUUAACCCACUGAGCCAGGCUAGGGAUUGAACGCACAUCCUCAUGAAUACUAGUUGUGUUUGUUUCUGCUUAGCCACAAGGAGAACUCCUGUUAUAUGAAUUUAUAAACUUUCAGUUAGUGAAUAUACUUUUAUAAAAUCCCAUCUCAUUACUUGAGAUACAGCUCUGAUGUGUUUGAAAUAUAUCUUCAGUGAAAGUACACUUGUGAUCUGGUCAUGUCACCAACCUCUAUAUUUUAGCUAGUGUAUGCCUGUGUUGUAUAAACUUGUGAUAUGUUUCUUUAAUACAUGUUCUAGGAAUCAUGUUUUAGAGUAGAAAGUACUGAUUUAGCAUCCUACCUUCCUAUACCAAGAGUGUCACAAGUAAGGAUUGUAUUCUUUAUUAAAGAUGAGCAACAAUUUUUAACUGAAAAAAUUUUAAUUGUAAAAAUUAUUAACUAGUUAUAAUAACUGUGAGCCUAUAUUCAUGUGAAGUAGUGAACACAAUAUUGCAUAGUGGCUCAUUUAAGGUCUCAUUAUAUUAUAAAAUGUACAUGGUAUGCAUAAAUAUAGCUCUACUAAGAUGUACAUCUGAACUGUCUAAAACAUACGUGAGUAUAAUAAACAGUUAUUUUAGUAAGUAUUUUUGCUUAGCAGUUUAGAAGUCUGGAGGAUAGAAGGUUAUAAACUUUAUGGUUAGCAUCUCUUAAAAACUAUCAAUGAAAAUUUGCAUUCCUGCCUUCUUUUACCUCAAUAAAUUUCCUUAUAACCAAUAGAGGCAAUAAUAAUUCUCUGUAACUUAUAGUUAUCCAUUGGAUUUUGAAGUUGCUAAACAGGGCUAGUAGGUAGAUUUUAUGUGGAAUGCAAAAGGAUUCUUUCUUUAUGAACGUAAAUCUUACUACCAGAUAGCAGCAUUCACCUAGAGAAUGUUUUGAUAAUUCUGUAGAAGAAAUUAAUAUGGAUCCAGUCACUUCUUAGUGACUCCCUUUCCACAGUGAUUUAAAUAUGUUUGGCCUUUUUUUAAAAAUGGCAAACUCUUUUAAAAAUGAAUCUGCUGCCUUGCAUUAUUAAAGCUGCUAACCAUUUAAAUUGUAUUGUAAUUUUAUAGAACUAUUCUUGUGCUUCUCUUGAGUUUUACAGAACUAAGCAGCAGAAUUUGUCAACUUGGGGACCUAAAAGAUAUAUUAAGUCUUGAAUGAGAGGUUCAUAAAAUUGUUCAGUUUUAAUUUCCAAAUGCCUUUUUUGUAGUAUGCUUAAUAUAGCUCUAGUCCAUCUAUUUGUGUGUAUAAGUGCUGCAGGUACUCAUUAAGGUAAAAUUGUUUUAAGCUGGAUGGGCCAACUGUCUGUGAAAGACUGGAUAGUAAAUAUUUUAGGCCUUGCAGGCCUUAUGGUCCUUCAUAACUACUCAGCCCUGCUUCUGUAGAGUGAAAACAGCUGUAGACAAAACAUAAAUGAAUAAGUGUGCCAAAUGAUCCAAUAAAACUUUAUUUAUAGAAACAGCCCAUGAGCCGAAUUUGGCCCAUGGACAGUAUUUUAUCACCUCUUGCUCUAAAUCAUUGAUUCUGUGUUCUCUCUAAAAUCAGGUCGUUUUAUGUCUGGAAGUGAAAAGUCGGUUUCUCCUUUUGGCUUUAGUAUCAAUAGUAGUACUUUAACUCUGAAUACUAAUAGCAUAGAUAAAGAAGAAUCUCAAGGUAUUCUAGGAGGAAAUGGGAUAACUGGAUUUGGAGAGAUUGUAAGCAGAUCUACGCAUGUGUGCUCUAAACCUGGGUACCCCACAGUCUCUGGCUUAUCUGAACUCUGCUGGAGAGAAAGUCAGGAAACUGUUAACUUGUGCUUGCUCACAUCAGUGCUACCUGUCAAUCCCUUUAUUUAUUUCUGUUUGACUCCUUGUUACAUUCCUCACAGCAUCUCUUCCAAGGUCAUUCUUGUCCCCUCAUAUCUUGGUCUCACAUCUCUUAUUUAGCAAAGAUGCAUGAUAUCAUUCAGCAUCAAUCUCUUAUGUUCUACAUUAGUUCCUUUUUUGAGGUAGGAAUGAAGAAUAAUAAUUCCCUCUACUAUUACAUUACUUUUAAAUUCUCAAUUGAAUGUGCAGACUGUGUAAGUUAUUGUAAAAUAUUUGCCUGAAUAAGUAUAAUAGGCCAUGGAUUCCUCUUCUAUGACUUGAAAUUCCUCCAGAAUACAUCGACCUUUACACAGAUGUUUUCUAUAUAUGUAUAAUUAUGAGAAUGUUAAUUCAAAAAUGAGUUAAGUCUGUCUUAAAGUUACAGUCUUUAAAAUAGGAAGCAAUAGAUAUGGCUCCUCUAAGGAACAGUCCAGACAGGUUAUUGUGGUGCUCUUGACAAGUAUUUUUUUGUCUUACUCUUGUAUUUUAUUUUAUUUUAUUUUAUUGGAGUAUAGUUGAUUUCCAGUGUUGUAUUAGUUACUCUUAUUUUUAACUAUAAGAACUUAUUCAACAGGGAGUUCAUCUCAAACUGCAUCAAGAGAAUCUUACUCUCCCGGAAUGGGGGUAGUUGCUUCGACCGUGUUAGAUGGCUAUCCCAGUAACCCCAGGGGUUGGGUGGAAAUCUUAGAAAAUGGAGGGAUUUGGACUGGGGUAGUUAUGUCAAAAAGUAUAUAGGAGAAAAUUGACAGAAUACUGUAAACCAGCUAUAAUGGAAGAAAAUAAAAAUCA